UUGAACGCUGGCGGCAGGCCUAACACCUGCCAGUCGAGCGGAUGAAGGGAGCUUGCUCCUGGAUUCAGCGGCGGACGGGUGAGUAAUGCCUAGGAAUCUGCCUGGUAGUGGGGGAUAACGUCCGGAAACGGGCGCUAAUACCGCAUACGUCCUGAGGGAGAAAGUGGGGGAUCUUCGGACCUCACGCUAUCAGAUGAGCCUAGGUCGGAUUAGCUAGUUGGUGGGGUAAAGGCCUACCAAGGCGACGAUCCGUAACUGGUCUGAGAGGAUGAUCAGUCACACUGGAACUGAGACACGGUCCAGACUCCUACGGGAGGCAGCAGUGGGGAAUAUUGGACAAUGGGCGAAAGCCUGAUCCAGCCAUGCCGCGUGUGUGAAGAAGGUCUUCGGAUUGUAAAGCACUUUAAGUUGGGAGGAAGGGCAGUAAGUUAAUACCUUGCUGUUUUGACGUUACCAACAGAAUAAGCACCGGCUAACUUCGUGC
RNAcentral lists this ribosomal RNA (484 nucleotides) under uncultured bacterium. Its description in RNAcentral is "partial 16S ribosomal RNA". It matches the Rfam family "Bacterial small subunit ribosomal RNA", at positions 30 to 508 of the family's 1533-position model. The record is from RNAcentral.